GACGAACGCUGGCGGCGUGCCUAAUACAUGCAAGUAGAACGCUGAAGGAGGAGCUUGCUUCUCCGGAUGAGUUGCGAACGGGUGAGUAACGCGUAGGUAACCUGCCUGGUAGCGGGGGAUAACUAUUGGAAACGAUAGCUAAUACCGCAUAAUAGUAGAUGUUGCAUGACAUUUGCUUAAAAGGUGCAAUUGCAUCACUACCAGAUGGACCUGCGUUGUAUUAGCUAGUUGGUGGGGUAACGGCUCACCAAGGCGACGAUACAUAGCCGACCUGAGAGGGUGAUCGGCCACACUGGGACUGAGACACGGCCCAGACUCCUACGGGAGGCAGCAGUAGGGAAUCUUCGGCAAUGGACGGAAGUCUGACCGAGCAACGCCGCGUGAGUGAAGAAGGUCUUCGGAUCGUAAAGCUCUGUUGUAAGAGAAGAACGAGUGUGAGAGUGGAAAGUUCACACUGUGACGGUAUCUUACCAGAAAGGGACGGCUAACUACGUGCCAGCAGCCGCGGUAAUACGUAGGUCCCGAGCGUUGUCCGGAUUUAUUGGGCGUAAAGCGAGCGCAGGCGGUUAGAUAAGUCUGAAGUUAAAGGCUGUGGCUUAACCAUAGUACGCUUUGGAAACUGUUUAACUUGAGUGCAAGAGGGGAGAGUGGAAUUCCAUGUGUAGCGGUGAAAUGCGUAGAUAUAUGGAGGAACACCGGUGGCGAAAGCGGCUCUCUGGCUUGUAACUGACGCUGAGGCUCGAAAGCGUGGGGAGCAAACAGG
Molecule: ribosomal RNA, 763 nt
Filed under: uncultured Streptococcus sp.
Lineage: Bacteria; Bacillati; Bacillota; Bacilli; Lactobacillales; Streptococcaceae
Description: bacterial SSU rRNA
Rfam family: Bacterial small subunit ribosomal RNA
Source: RNAcentral